UAUUUUUGCAGCCUGAUUGCCAAAGAGGUAAUCGUACAUAAAAAUCAUUUAAAUAAUAUUUGCAUG
RNAcentral lists this non-coding RNA (66 nucleotides) under unclassified sequences. Its description in RNAcentral is "S15-Flavobacteria ribosomal protein leader". It matches the Rfam family "S15-Flavobacteria ribosomal protein leader". The record is from RNAcentral.